This is a long non-coding RNA of Pseudopipra pipra, 622 nucleotides long. RefSeq lists it as uncharacterized. NCBI's taxonomy places the organism in Eukaryota, Metazoa, Chordata, Aves, Passeriformes, Pipridae. The transcript has 3 exons. The record is from RefSeq and is a predicted model, not a curated record.
AGGGGGUGUGGGGAGGGUCGGGGGAUGUUUCUCGGCCCACAAACCAGUCUGUUGGCGUCUGAUUUCAGAUCCUGAGUCGACUCCCUGCCGAAAGCAACCGAGACAGUCACGAGCCGGGAAAAACCGCGUCGACCUGAAAUCCAAAGGAACGCAGUGCCCCGACCUGCCGGAUUCCACAGUGUCAGGCUCCGUACCCAGACUGAGAAAGGUAGAUGCCCAUUAGCGGGAAUGAGCAGCCGAGCAGAAGCUUUAUGAAGAUCUCAUUGGAAUCCAGCGGAUGAUUAAUGUGAAGAUUUGGUAGGAAAUCUGGAGAGCUGUAUUAAAGCUCAGAUCUCAGGUUCAUUUCGAUCAGCCAGCCGUGAACUCUAGGCCGAAUUCAUUACACUUUAAUAGUGCUGGGAGAGAAAGAAAAUGCAAUUUCUCAUUCCAUUAGAAAACUAGAAAAUACUCUCAGCUUGUCCCCUAUUAAGAUGUGGCAGGUGACGGGACCAUUGUGGGGGACACGGUCAAUGGAAUUACAGCACAUUAUUUUUGUUCGUAUAAAAUAUUGGAAGGCAAGCCUGACUGUGCAGAAGUUAUUUCACUGAUUUGGUUUUUAUGUAAAUAAAAUAUUGAAAGUUAA